ACGUAGGUGGCAAGCGUUAUCCGGAAUUAUUGGGCGUAAAGCGCGCGUAGGCGGUUUUUAAGUCUGAUGUGAAAGCCCACGGCUCAACCGUGGAGGGUCAUUGGAAACUGGAAAACUUGAGUGCAGAAGAGGAAAGUGGAACUCCAUGUGUAGUGGUGAAAUGCGCAGAGAUAUGGAGGAACACCAGUGGCGAAGGCGACUUUCUGGUCUGUAACUGACGCUGAUGUGCGAAAGCGUGGGGAUCAGACAGGAUUAGAUACCCUGGUAGUCAAGGGCG
This 277-nucleotide ribosomal RNA is filed under the name uncultured Staphylococcus sp. RNAcentral's name for it is "partial 16S ribosomal RNA". It matches the Rfam family "Bacterial small subunit ribosomal RNA", at positions 525 to 802 of the family's 1533-position model. Lineage: Bacteria; Bacillati; Bacillota; Bacilli; Caryophanales; Staphylococcaceae. The record is from RNAcentral.